RNAcentral lists this ribosomal RNA (1138 nucleotides) under Macrostomum lignano. RNAcentral describes it as "partial large subunit ribosomal RNA". It matches the Rfam family "Eukaryotic large subunit ribosomal RNA", at positions 40 to 960 of the family's 3401-position model. Lineage: Eukaryota; Metazoa; Platyhelminthes; Macrostomidae. The record is from RNAcentral.
AUAUUAUUAAGCGGAGGAAAAGAAACUAACAAGGAUUCCCCUAGUAACGGCGAGUGAACGGGGAAGAGCCCAACACCGAAUCCCUUGGCGCAAGUCAACGGGAAAUGUGGUGUUAAGGUAGCCCUUCGUGUCAGUCUAGGCGUCUCAAGUCCACCUGAUUGUGGCUCAAGCCCAGAGAGGGUGUAAGGCCCGUAGAGACGCUCCGACUGAUUCCUGGGGUUUACCUACGAGUCGGCUUGUUUGGGAAUGCAGGCCAAAGCGGGUGGUAAACUCCAUCCAAGGCUAAAUACUGGCACGAGUCCGAUAGCGGACAAGUACCGUGAGGGAAAGUUGAAAAGAACUUUGAAGAGAGAGUUCAAUAGUACGUGAAACCGCUUAGAGGCAAACGGAUGGUGCUCAUACUGGCCUGAGGAAUUCAACUGUGACGGUGGCUGGACGAGCUGGCGUUCCGAUCUCUCUUUUGGGACGGGCGUCGGUUUGGCUAUCAGCUCCGACAUGGUGCACUUUCCUUGGUGCCUCCGCCACGACCGACGACACUGGCUACCCGCGGCUGGGGUAAGGUGACAAACUGCUUCGGCAAUUUGUGUUAUAGACCCCGGCGUCGGACAUGGUUUGGCCAGGACGUCGAGCUUGCGGCGCCCGCUCCUUGUGGGCUCGCAUGUUGGCUAGCUUGGCUGCGCCGAUGCUUGCACUGGACAACCAGUACAGGUGACGGUUGUGGUCUUGUCUCUAGUUGGCCUCUGCGAGUUUGGCGCCUAUAGUCUGUGGUGUACUUGUGGGUAGACUAUCCGACCCGUCUUGAAACACGGACCAAGGAGUCUAACAUGUGCGCGAGUCAUGGGGAUUCUACGAAACCCAAAGGCGCAGUGAAAGUAAAGGCCUGCUUCUCGUAGGCUGAGGUGGGAUCUCGUGCAUCGCGAUUGGCGAGCGCACCACCGGCCCGUCCUAUCUGUCUCUGUCAGUGGGGCGGCGCAAGAGCGUACACGUUGGGACCCGAAAGAUGGUGAACUAUGCUUGCGCAGCUCGAAGUCAGUGGAAACACUGAUGGAGGAGCGCAGCGUUUCUGACGUGCAAAUCGAUCGUCAAACGUGAGUAUAGGGGCGAAAGACUAAUCGAACCAUCUAGUAGCUGGUUCCCU